UGGGGAAUAUUGCACAAUGGGCGCAAGCCUGAUGCAGCCAUGCCGCGUGUGUGAAGAAGGCCUUCGGGUUGUAAAGCACUUUCAGCGAGGAGGAAGGUGGUGAACUUAAUACGUUCAUCAAUUGACGUUACUCGCAGAAGAAGCACCGGCUAACUCCGUGCCAGCAGCCGCGGUAAUACGGAGGGUGCAAGCGUUAAUCGGAAUUACUGGGCGUAAAGCGCACGCAGGCGGUUUGUUAAGUCAGAUGUGAAAUCCCCGGGCUCAACCUGGGAACUGCAUUUGAAACUGGCAAGCUAGAGUCUCGUAGAGGGGGGUAGAAUUCCAGGUGUAGCGGUGAAAUGCGUAGAGAUCUGGAGGAAUACCGGUGGCGAAGGCGGCCCCCUGGACGAAGACUGACGCUCAGGUGCGAAAAGCGUGGGGAGCAAACAGGAUUAGAUACCCCUGGUAGGUCCACGCUGUAAAACGAUGUCGAUUUUGGAGGUUGUGCCCUUGAGGCGUGGCUUCCGGAGCUAACGCGUUAAAUCGACCGCCU
RNAcentral lists this ribosomal RNA (532 nucleotides) under uncultured bacterium. RNAcentral's name for it is "partial 16S ribosomal RNA". It matches the Rfam family "Bacterial small subunit ribosomal RNA", at positions 355 to 874 of the family's 1533-position model. The record is from RNAcentral.